AUUAAAACUUUUAAUAACGGAUCUUUUAGUUCUAAUAUUGAUGAAGAACGUAGCGAAAUACGAUAAGUAAUAUAAAUUACAAAAUUUAGUAAAUCAUCGAAUCUUUGAACGUAUAUUGUACUCGCUAGUAUUUUAGCGAAUAUACCUAUUCGAACGUUAUUUCAACUAUUAAGCUCUAUUUGUAUUAGGAAUCUAUAACUAUUUACGGUCCUUUAAAAUCAAUAGCGGGUUCGCUAGUUAUACCGAGUAUAGUAAUUUUAUAUCGCUAUAGUUGUACGGUAGGUUCUUACUAUAAAACCCCCUAUUUCUAAAAUUAACCUCGGAUUAGGUAGGAAUACCCGCUGAAUUUAAGUAUAUUAAUAAGCGGAGGAAAAAAAAUUAAUAGGGAUUGCCUUAGUAAUAGCGAAUGAAGCGGUAAUAGUUUAAAUUUGAAAUUUAGCUUCGACCUAAAUUGUAAUUUAUAGAGGAAGCUUUUAGUGAGGCACCUUCUAAAUCCUUUAGAACAGAGCGUUAUAAAGAGUAAAAGCCUUAUAUAGUCGGAUGCUAAUCUAAUAUAAAGCUCCUUCGAUGAAUUAAAUAGUUUAGGAAUAUUAUUUAAAAUAGGAAGUAAAUUUCUUCUAAAAUUAAAUACCGGCUAGAGAUUGAUAGUAUAUAAAUAGAGUAAUUGAAAGAUGAAAAGUAUUUUAAAAAGAGGGUUAAAUAGUAUAUGAAAUUAUUGAAAGGGAAGUAUUUGUAAUUAGACUUGCGCCGUUCUAAUUAUUUAGUAUUCUUACUAGUAUAUUUAGGACGGUUUAGGCUAGUAUUAAUUUUAGUAGGGGGAUAAAGGUCUAAGGAACGUAGCUCCUCCGGGAGUAUUAUAGUCCCGGGUAUAAUACCUUCGCCGGGACUAAGGUUCGCGUAUUUAUAAGGAUAUUAGUAUAAUAGUUAUUAAUAACCUGUUUUGAAAUACGGAUUAAGGAAUUAAAGUUUUAUGCGAGUAUUUGGGUAUAAAAUCUAUAUAUGUAAUAAAAAUAAAUAUAAGUGAGAGCUUCGGUGUAUUAUCGACCGAUUUUAAUAUAUUCGGAUAGAUUUGAGUAAGAAUAUUAAACCUUGGACCUAAAAAAUAGUAAACUAUACUUAGAUAGGGUAAAGCUAGAGGAAACUCUAGUAGAGGCUCGUAGCGGUUUUAACGUAUAAAUCGAUUAUUAAAUUUAAGUAUGGGGGCGAAAGACUAAUUGAAUUAUUUAGUAGCUAAUUAUUACCGAAGUUUCCCUUAGGAUAGUAGUAUUAUUCUUUAGUUUUAUAAGGUAAAGCGAAUGAUUAGGGACUCGGGGGCGCUUUUUAACCUUCAUCUAUUCUUAAAUUUUAAAUAUAUAAGAAACCCUUAUUAUUUAAUUGAAUGUAGGUAUUUAAAUAUAUUAAUAUUAGUAGGCUAUUUUUGGUAAGUAGAACUAGCGAUGCGGAAUAAACUAAACGCGGGGUUAAAGUGCUAGAGUAGACGCUUAUUAAAUACUAUAAAAGGUAUUAGUAUAUUUUAAUAGUAGGACGGUGGCUAUAGAAGUCGGAAUCCGUUAAGGACUAUAUAAUAAUUUACUUACUAAAUAUACUAGCCUUGAAAAUAGAUAGCGCUUAAGUAUCCUACCUAUACUCCGCCCUUAGGGUAGAAAUAAUGCCCUAAGGAGUAGGCGGCUAUGGAGGUUAGUAAUAAAGUUUAGGGCGUGAGCCCGGGUCGAACGGCCUCUAGUAUAGAUCUUAGUAGUAGUAGCAAAUAUUUUAAUAAGAAUUUGAAGGACCGAAGUGGGGAAAGGUUCUAUAUAAAUAGCGGUUGGAUAUAGGUUAGUCGAUUCUAAGCUAUAGGGAAGUUCUAUUUUAAAGGGGUACUUAUACCCCGUAUAGCGAAAGGGAAGCCGGUUAAUAUUCCGGUACUUAGAUAUAGGUUUUGUAUAGUAAUGCAACUAAAUGUAGAGACGAUAGCGGAGGCCCCGGGUAGAAUUCUCUUUUCUUCUUAACGGUCUAUUACUUUAAAAAUAAUUUAUUUAGAGAUAGGGUUUAAUGGCCGGAAGAGCCCGAUACUUCUAUUAGGUCCGGUACGCUCUCAAUGUCCUUUAAAAAUCCGCGGGAGGGAAUAAUUCUUACGCUAGGUCGUACUUAUAACUGUAGCAGGUCUCUAAGGUAAAUAGCCUCUAGUUAAUAGAAUAAUAUAGAUAAAGGAAAUUGGUAAAAUAGAUCUGUAACUUUAGGAAAAGGAUUGGUUCUAAGGGUUGGGUACGUUGGGCUUUAGGCAAACGCCUUAGGAGUAGAUCGCUACUAGCCGGGUAACUGGCCGGCGGCUUUUAGUAUCUGGGUAUAGAAGCUUUUAAUAGACUUCGGUCGUCCGGCGUAUAUUUAAUAACUAACUUAGAAUUAAUACGGAUAGGGGGAAUUUAAUUAUCUAAUUAAAAUAUAGUAUUAUAAUGGCUAAAAAGUGGUAUUAACGUAAUGUGAUUUUUGCCUAGUGCUUUGAAUGUUAAAGUGAAGAAAUUCAACUAAGCGCGGGUAAAUAGUGGGAGUAACUAUAAUUCUUUUAAGGUAGUUAAAUGCUUCGUUAUUUAAUUAGUAAUGCGUAUAAAUAGAUUAAUAAGAUUCCUACUAUCCCUAUCUAUUAUUUAGCGAAAUUAUAAUUAAGGGAACGGGUUUGGUAGAAUUAGCGGGGAAAGAAGACCCUAUUGAAUUUAAUUCUAGUUUAAUAUUGUAAAAAGAUAUAGGAGGUGUAGAAUAGGUGGGAGCUUCGGCGCCGGUGAAAUACUACUACUCCUAUUGUUUUUUUACUUAUUUAAUUAAGUAGGGCUGGAUUUUCGUUUAAUUUCUAAUUUUAAGGUCCUUCGCGGGCCGACCCAAGUUAAAGAUAUUAUUAGGUAGGGAGUUUGGCUAGGGCGGUACAUUUAUUAAACUAUAACGUAGGUGUCCUAAGGGGGGCUUAUAGAGAAUAGAAAUCUCUAGUAGAAUAAAAGGGUAAAAGUCCCUUUAAUUUUGAUUUUCAAUGUGAAUACAAACUAUAAAAGUAUAGCCUAUCGAUCCUUUAGUCCCUCGAAAUUUAAGGCUAGAGGUGCCAGAAAAAUUACUAUAGGGAUAAUUAGUUUGUAGUGGCUAAACGUUUAUAGCGACGUCGCUUUUUAAUCCUUCAAUAUCGGCUCUUCCUAUUAUACCGAAGUAGAAUUCGGUAAGCGUUAGAUUGUUUACUUAUUAAUAGGGAACGUGAGUUGGGUUUAGACUGUUGUAAGAUAGGUUAGUUUUACCCUACUAAUAACCUUAUUGUAAUAGUAAUUAAAUUUAGUACGAGAGGAACUGCUUAUUUAAAUAAUUAGUUUUUACGGUUAUCCAACCGGGUAGUACCGCGACGCUACUAUCUGUUAAAUAAUGGCUAAACGCCUCUAAAUUAAAAUCUAUACCAGAACACAAUAAUACCUCCAGCAUAUUAUAAACGUAUAAGAAUAAACUCCGGCCUCGUAUUUUAGCAAGCGAUUCCUCCGUUAGCCUUAAAGUAGCCAGCGGUAAUUCGCGUAUUGU
This 3525-nucleotide ribosomal RNA is filed under the name Neurospora crassa OR74A. RNAcentral describes it as "eukaryotic LSU rRNA". It matches the Rfam family "Eukaryotic large subunit ribosomal RNA". The record is from RNAcentral. Lineage: Eukaryota; Fungi; Ascomycota; Sordariomycetes; Sordariales; Sordariaceae.